AACUAUUCUUCAAAUUUUCCUAGGAUGUGUUAAACAACUCAAGAAUCAGUAUGCAAAAGAUGCAGAAUCACUACAAUUUUUUUUUAUCAUAAAUACAUUUACAAAAGAAUAAACCAUGAAUUUUCAAAAUGGAAGGGCCAACAGACAACACAAAGCAUAGAGGUUACUUAAAGUUUCUAGCAUGCAUCAAAAAGUUCCAAAGGUCAAGAU
RNAcentral lists this unclassified non-coding RNA (210 nucleotides) under Hevea brasiliensis (rubber tree). Lineage: Eukaryota; Viridiplantae; Streptophyta; Magnoliopsida; Malpighiales; Euphorbiaceae. The record is from RNAcentral.